GGAAAUUUAUGACGUAGGACUCGGGGGCCACUGGUCGCCUGUGUGGUGCCAUCCAGUGCCACUUCUCCUGACACUAGACAAAGACCCUCCAGAAACGGUGAAGUGCUAUAGACCCUUUCAACAUCCCGUUUCCAUCCGUGGACUCUCAAAAAGACAUCAAGGAUGGUUCUGCCGGUGUUGGGGGCUCUGGCUGGGCUGGUGAAGGUGCGGUACUCCCGCACCCUCGUCGACAGCCAGGUCUUCCGCCUCCACUACCACUGGACGACCGCCUUCCUCUUCAUCAGCUGCGCUCUAGUCGUCGCUUCCGAUUACAUAGGAGACGCCAUCCAGUGUUUGGUCGGGCAGGAAGACGCGCCCAAGCCCAUCACCACUUACUGCUGGAUCUCCUCCACCUUCACCAUUAAUUCCACCGGCCCACUUAUGGGAUUAGGAACUUACAAGCCUAAAUUUCACCAGAGGCGGUUUCACGCCUACUACCAGUGGGUUCCAGUAGUCCUUUUCCUCCAGGGGUGCCUCUUCUACCUGCCUCACCUCAUAUGGAAGAACUGGGAGGGCAAGCAGGUGGACCUCCUGCUUCAGGAUCUUAACAAGAGCCUCUUUGACGAAGAUGCCGCCAAGAAGAAAGUUAAUAUUAUCAAAUACCUGAAGGACUCAUGGGGCCUCAAUAUGAGGUACUCCGUCUUGUACUUCGUGUGUGAGGUGCUCAACCUGGUGAAUGUGGUGGGACAGAUGUUCCUCAUGAACCGGUUCCUUGGGGGAUUCUUCAUGAAGUACGGGAUUAAGGUGAUCUCGUUCUUGACCUCCGACGACACCAAAAGGAACGACGCUCUCAUGGAGACAUUCCCAAGGAUGACCAAGUGCAUCUUCCACCUCUUCGGGGCCUCUGGGGAAAUUGAGAAGAAGGAUGUUCUCUGCGUCCUCCCCCAGAACAUUAUCAACGAGAAGAUCUACCUGGUGAUGUGGUUCUGGUUCAUCAUUUUGACAAUCAUCACUAUCCUCCAGGUGGUGUGGCAGCUAGUCAUAUUUAACAGCCCAACAGUGCGGGUUCGCCUGCUGCAACGCUUGGCCCAGAAGAAUUUCUGCCCGCGGAUGGAGAAUGCCAUCCGCAACAUGCACUUGGGUGACUUCUGCCUCGUCCUUAGCAUCGGAAAAAACCUAGACAUCUUCAGUUUCAGGGACGUGAUGCAGGGCGUAGUCGAGGCCUCGGAGGAGGCUUACACCCCUAGCGCCCCGCCACUACUAAACUAUCGCACCAAUAACUUCUCCAAUAAUCCAGAUAUGAUCACCCGCAAACGUCAUAUUGGGCUAGCAGCGGACUCCAAUCAGUAGGAACCAGUGCUGGAAAUUUCAUGUAGCCUCGCAUACCAGUAUUCUUAACCUCGCAGAAUUCAGAGGAAAUAUUUCGGAAGGUUUAAGAUUCUUCACUUUCAGGGAUCCCAGAUGGAAGGGAUGGUACUCAUCUAACGGUGAUUACCUAACAGUGACGACGAGGAAUGAGACCUAGCUGUUAAGACCCGCCUACUAACUAGCCUAGUCGUACCUGGAGCAUUUCACUUUUUUUAAGAUAUGGAUGGAAAUGGCUUCUACUCCUCCUUUCGGUACAAUCCACUUGUUGAACACCUGUACAAGACUCCUCGCUGUUGCGGAGGAUUUUAGGGUUGGAGGAUGUUUCCAGCUCGUUAUCGAAGUGGAUGAGGAACUCGCUGAAGAUGCUGGACUCCAUGUUAUGAGCCAGACUGAGGAGGAGGAACCACUGGCUGAGGGAGACCUCCUUCAUCACGCGACUAACUUGUACUCUCGCUGCCUCGUUCGUGUGCAUCUACCACCACCGCAAGGCUCUUCCAGGAGAAAGUAUAUGAGAAGCACCAGCCACCCAACGUUCAGGAGAAAGUGUAUGAGGAACAAGUCACCUUACCUCCGUGAGGAAACACUUGAGAAACAAGAGUCGCCUUACCCUCAAGAUAAAAUAUCUGAGCCAUGGAAUGAAGAUGGUGAGGAGGCGGAAGACCAGCCAGAGAGAGGUGACGGUGGUCAGCAGCACCAGCCACACCCACAGGAAGAUGUAGAUCUACCAGGGACAUGGGAAUGAGUCAUGCAUUCACACUUGAAGACAGCUGCUUGACGUCACGUGCUCUUAUCAGAGACACCUGAUGGUCUCAACUUCAGACAUGAAAUCGACGCAAGAUGAAUACGUUGGACAGUUGCCAGCAUAAAUAACUCGGUUGGUAACUGAUAAAACUGCAAAUAUUCUUAAGCUUCCAGGAUUUUUUUUAAGUUUUAGGGACGACGAUAUAUGAUUGGAUAAAAACUAUGUAGGUUAUAUGUGUAGAAAAAGUCAAUGAACAUCGAAAGGCGAAGAAUGGCGGAAUGUUCUUCCUGUCUAAAUCACAUUUGAAGGGGCGUUGGUUACGGUUAGAAGAUAGCAAUGUAGAAUUAAUAUAAACACAAACUAAGUGAAAUUAAUAAAUCCUGAUAUGAAAAGCUUUAAUGAAAGUUUUUUUUUGUAGAAGAUUAAGUAAGGAUACAUUUUAAAAGGCACAACAUGUAUAUGUAGUGUGCAGACGAGGAGUCACAAUAACGUGGCUGAAAUAUGUUGACCAAACCACACACUAGAAAGUGAAGGGACGACGACGUUUCGGUCCGUCCUGGACCAUUCACAAUCGAUUUGAGAAUAGUCCAGGACGGAUCGAAACGUCGUCAUCCCUUCACUUUCUAGUGUGUGGUUUGGUCAACAUGUAUGUACUGUACUCUGAGCAUUUCAAAUAUAGAUCCAGUGACAGAAAUACGGUUCACAUAGGGAUAAACUAUCAGAGCAUAAGGCUUAAGAAUACGUUACUAGGUCCUAGAUACCUAUCAAGACGUAUUAUGAACAAGAAAUGUGAAGGAGUGGUGACUGACCUUCUCGUUGAUGAUGUUAGUAGCGAUGAGACACAUGACGUCUCGCACCUGGAUGGUUCCUGAAGCUCCGAAGCUCCUGAAGGUGCAUUUAGCCAUCUUGGGGAAGACGAAGGACAUCGGGUCCGUCCGGUUCUCUGGGUCCAUCCCAGAUACAGCAAACACCUGUCCACGAAAAGAAGGCGAAAAUUUGGUUUGGAUUUCCAUGGACAGGGGACAAGAAGCCUUGUAGGCUUAUGUUAGUCCCUAGAUAAGCCUAAAGACUGUUCUUACCUAGGAUGUAACCCACAACAGUCGCCUAACUCCAAGUACCUAUUUAUUUAUUUAUUUAUUUAUUUAUUUAUAUACAAGAAGGUACAUUGGGAUUAUGAGGAUAAAUAGGAUAGUAUUUACAAUCUUCUAAAGCCACUAGUACGCACAGCGUUUCGGGCAGAACCUAUUUACUGAAGGGUGGAUUGUUCCCUUAAUAGAGAGAAUCUCAUUGUUUUCUUUAAAUAUAUGAAUCAAACAGUUAAUUGUAUAAUUCACUUGAUAUUUAUAUAUAUAUCGAGCUGAAGAUCAUGGAAAACUACGAGUUGGUUUUACAUCUGUUGUCAGGGAAAGCACAUGAUGCUUUCAUUUGACCACCAACACAUGACUGCUUAACGAUUCCUUCUGCGACACCUGACACAAGUUGAAGCUAAAUUUUUUAUAGAAAACAUCUAAUGAGACAAUUUUUUUUUGCCUGGAGAAUCUGUAGAAGUCCCGAGUCUACAGUAAGAGUGAGACAAACAGUUCGAUGUCACAACCUAUUAUCCCAGACAUUAGUAAUGGAUCACAGCAAUAUACGUAAGACGUUAAAUAAACUAACUACAAGGGAAAAACUUACGUUGGAGCCGUAUGUGAGAAACUCGCCGCCCAGGAACCAGUCAGUGAAGAAGAGAGUGGCUAUCACCACGCCCAGGUUGAGGAAUUCACAGAAGAAGAACUUGUGCGCCCAUGUUGUGUGUCUGUCCAUGUGGUGAAUCACGUACUUCGACAAGGUGCGAAACCUUCAGAAUAAUAACGAAAAAUCUCCAAGUGUUCCAUGGAUAAAUGCUGAAAUAGUCUCGGAUAGCGAGGUUCUGAAUUGCCUGUUUGAAGAGGCCGCCCUCCCAAGCCUUCCACAGCCAGUGGGGCAGGUAGAACAUCACGCCCUGG
Procambarus clarkii (red swamp crayfish) is the source of this 4074-nucleotide non-coding RNA. The record is from RefSeq and is a predicted model, not a curated record. NCBI's taxonomy places the organism in Eukaryota, Metazoa, Arthropoda, Malacostraca, Decapoda, Cambaridae.